This 501-nucleotide ribosomal RNA is filed under the name uncultured Actinomycetes bacterium. RNAcentral's name for it is "bacterial SSU rRNA". It matches the Rfam family "Bacterial small subunit ribosomal RNA", at positions 8 to 522 of the family's 1533-position model. The record is from RNAcentral. Lineage: Bacteria; Bacillati; Actinomycetota; Actinomycetes.
AGAGUUUGAUCAUGGCUCAGGAUGAACGCUGGCGGCGUGCUUAACACAUGCAAGUCGAACGAUGAUCCCAGCUUGCUGGGGGAUUAGUGGCGAACGGGUGAGUAACACGUGAGUAGCCUGCCCUUAACUCUGGGAUAAGCCUGGGAAACUGGGUCUAAUACCGGAUAUGACUCCUCAUCGCAUGGUGGGGGGUGGAAAGCUUUAUUGUGGUUUUGGAUGGACUCGCGGCCUAUCAGCUUGUUGGUGAGGUAAUGGCUCACCAAGGCGACGACGGGUAGCCGGCCUGAGAGGGUGACCGGCCACACUGGGACUGAGACACGGCCCAGACUCCUACGGGAGGCAGCAGUGGGGAAUAUUGCACAAUGGGCGCAAGCCUGAUGCAGCGACGCCGCGUGAGGGAUGACGGCCUUCGGGUUGUAAACCUCUUUCAGUAGGGAAGAAGCGAAAGUGACGGUACCUGCAGAAGAAGCGCCGGCUAACUACGUGCCAGCAGCCGCGGUA